UGAUGUCAUUUUCAUUCUGGAUGAAGAAGUCACUACAUGACUCAUUAAAAGAAUUAACAACCUCCAUCAGGAUCAGUGAGGAGAAAGAGGAGAGCAGGAGCACCAGAGCGAGGAGCUUCAUCCUGACACACGGUUUCUGUGGAAUAAGUUUACACACACUGCACUGCUCGGAAAGUCCAAACAGAGGAGCAUUCAACAGAGGCCAAAUCUGCAAUCUGCAGUGUCACACAUCUGACACACAUGCUGGGUGAACACUGGUACAACACUCAGAGUUUUUCGACUCGUAAGGAAACCCACCAGACUAUGAACUCUUUCCUGACUCGAUAAUUUUUAUUUAUUUAUUUUUUUACAAAAGUACUGUUACAUUAUAAAAUAUAAUCCUGUGAAAGUGUAAAGCUUCGCUGCUGUCAACAUUGUGUGUUUUUUUCUGUCACAGAGCACAGACCAAUCCAAUCCCUAGCUGGCCGGCUCUCCCGUCCAUUCUACGUUCAAAUGUUUGCUCCCUGGACAAUAAACUGGACUACAUGCAACUCGGACACACUACCCAGCGAGAGUUCUAAAACUGCUUGUCUUUGUUUUCACUUAAACGUGACUCAGUGACAAAGUACCAGAUGCCGCCAUUGGGCUCACCUGGUUUGGUGACAACAGAAAUGGUGCGAUAAGGGUCGCAGUGGUGGUGUGUGUUUACACAGAAUGUUUUUAGCUACUGCUCAUCAUUAUUGGAAUUUGGGACUUUUAGAUGCAGGCCAUUUUAUUUACCAUGGGAAUUCAACACGGUUUUCAUUGUCGAAGUGAACAUUCCCCCAGCGCUAAUGCUAAAGAGGCUCUAUGUGAUCUCUAUGGUGCUAUUAGUGAUCUUCAGAAUCCGACGGACUGUUUAUCAGUGACGGAGAUUUCAAGUCAUGCAAAUCUCAAAUCAGUGCUUCCUAAAUUCCAUCAGUAUGUGGAGUCUGCAAAGCGAGGGGAAAACAUGCUGGAUCUUGUUUACACAAACAUUCCUGGCAAUGACAUUUUCAUGGCCCUUCAUUUAGCCCUCACCCACCUAGACAAUAAAGACAUAAUGCAGACCGUUGAGCUACAAGCUGCUGCUUCGUCCUGCAGUAAAGUCAGUUUCAUAUUCAGACAGUCGGGUGUUUGUGGUGUUUUCUGGUCCUGUUCUAAGUUAGGAAACUCUUCAGUCUGCUAGUUGAAGUAAAACUUGGUUUUGAAUCUGGACCUUUGUUAAUGUUAUUUAAACAAGACAAUCAGAAUUGAUUUUUUUCCCUUAAAAUUAUUGAUAUAUUUUGAAAUUCGGGAUUAACAAGAGAGCUGUACUCGUCUCCACAGGAUCACCAAGACAGCAUCUCUCGAGGACAUCCACAGAUGAUCAGAGCACAACGUUCAUAUUAUUGCACUAUUAGAAUAACAGGACGUGUCGAAUAUCUAAAAAACACCUUUUAUACACAGAGUCACAUAUCAAACUCUAAUUAAACGUGAACUGCUAAAUUAUUAGACUGUUAAAGAUUAAAAAUACUUGAUAUGACCAGAAGACAUGGAAAUGUAACUGUAACAGAGAGAGAGAGAGAGAGAGAGAGAGAGAGAGAGAGAGAGAGAGAGAGAGAGAGAGAGAGAGAGAGAGAGAUUUUCUCACCAAAAGCUGCUGGAACUUGAUGUAGGAGUUCAGUAGAAGAUGUGAGAUGAUCACAGGAGGAGAUCUUUGUACAGAGAUCUUUAUCUGUAGAAGAACCGGCUGGUCUCUCGCUCUCCUGUCUCAGAUACUCACCUUUUUAUAACACUGCUGUCACGUACUGUACACUGGUCACAUCUUACAGUGAGGUUAUUGAUGAAACUUAGACCUUAUACACACAUCAGCAGUCUCUCAGUGAACAAAGUGAAUGCUUUUACACCAAAUGAUGCAGCUGCAAAGAUAUCAGCAACAGAUGGCUGAGUAUUUUUAUUCAAUUUUGAGUCAUCUUGAGUUUAUACUUUAACUCCUUACUUUUUACAAAAGGUGAACACAUCGGCAAUAGCAACAGCAUCUGAAAAGUAGAAUAAUCGCUCGAAAUGCUUUUUGAACAUUACUUGUUUUCCUAGUGUCCGCUUUGUUGUACUUGCCCUAUAACACCAUGUCGCUUGCGUCUCUGCCUUUGAGUGCAGGUGAGGACAUGUUUGAGCUGCACUCGGUGGAACUGGAGCUGGAGGCCGUGUGGAAGCAGAUCCAUGACCUGAAGCAAGCCGAGCUGCUGGAGGUUGCUCACCUGUCUCAGGUAAAUUACAGGCACAAAAUUAGUACUCCCUCCACCUCUAUUCUGUGUGUUUAUAUGUCCAAGUUCAGCGCAUCCAGGAAGAUGUCUGCCCAGGUUCUGUUCACUCCAGCACCUGGGUACCUCGGACCCUGCGUGCAGCAGUGGAAGAUGCGAGCCGGGCCCCGGUCGAGGACCUCCCCCCCUCUGCCGCCACCGGUCAUUGAGAUCCCCACCAGGAACCGCUUCGCCCCCCUUUUGCGAGAUGGUCCGCAAUGCUGUGAUCACUGGAGACUCCAUCGUCCGCUAUGUCCGUGUUGCUAUGGCUAAAGCAGGAACACUGGAGCUGUUGUUCUUCAUGCCGGCAAGAACGACACCAGCCUGAGGCAGUUGGAGAUGCUGAAGAGGGACUUCAACACCCUGGUGGAGACGGUUUACAGCACAGCACCCAUGGCAAGGAUCAUCGUGUCUGGACUGCUUCCUACGUAACAGCAAGGGAUCGAAAGAAAUCACCAUCCCCAUCUAUUGCUUUACUAGACACUCUACCACCCUUAUUGUGGGCUGAUCAUAAGAAUGAUGUGGGUCUCGUGCAGUGUACACCAUAUGAGGCUACUUGAGUACAGGGCACACAACCAGUGACCAGUAUGGUUGUCAUCCUCCUCAUCUUGAUCAUCUACCUUGGGACAGGGUUUCCCGUCCUAGCGCAUGCUUAUGACAACGAAUUCUGAAAAGUGACUGAGGGUCAUGCCAGGAACAUACUUAUAGAGAAAGAUAGAUGAUUAUAUAUGAGUUGUUUAUCCAUUAUAAGUUUAUCAUGGAUAAAAGAGGGGAAUUGUGAGAAUAAUUGUAUGAAAUACUUCAUAUUUUCUGAUAAUGUUGCAGACUUUCUGUACAAAGCACAAUGUUCUUUUCUUACAAACAAUCACAUACACACACACACACACACACACACACACACACA
This is a long non-coding RNA of Tachysurus fulvidraco (yellow catfish), 3183 nucleotides long. RefSeq lists it as uncharacterized. The record is from RefSeq and is a predicted model, not a curated record. The transcript is spliced from 4 exons. Lineage: Eukaryota; Metazoa; Chordata; Actinopteri; Siluriformes; Bagridae.